Molecule: long non-coding RNA, 793 nt
Organism: Ictalurus punctatus (channel catfish)
Lineage: Eukaryota; Metazoa; Chordata; Actinopteri; Siluriformes; Ictaluridae
Source: Ensembl
CACAAUUUUUGCACAAUUAACCUGUUUCUGUUAUCUCGGGCUCUUAUAAAAGCUCACAGUAGCGUUGUCGUGGUGCAGAUCUCACAUCCGAAACAAGCACACGGCUAACAGAACUGAUCUGAAACGAGGGGUGUAAAUGCCGAGCUGUUCCGUCCUGACGUCACGUGUCAUGUUCCUUACACGAAGGUCAAAGGGUAUUACUGUCGUUCUAACAUUUUUUUUCUGCCGGAUAAAUAUACAAAUCAGGAAAGUGUUCAUUAAAUAAAGCAUUAAAUACGCUAGCUAGCGUUACAGCAAAGGGUUAUGUUCUGCUACAUUACUAGCUAGCUAAUGUCAUACAAUAAGGUAUUAAAUAAGCUAGCUAGCAUUGUAGCAAAGGGUUAUGUCCUGCUACAUUACUAGCUAAAUAUUGUCAUACAAUAAGUUAUUAAAUAAGUUAGCUAGCGUUGCAGGAAAGGGUUAUGUUCUGCUACAUUACUAGCUAGCUAAUGUCAUACAAUAAGUUAUUAAAUAAGCUAGCUAGCAUUGCAGGAAAGGGUUAUGUUCUGCUACAUUACUAGCUAGCUAAUGUCAUACAAUAAGUUAUUAAAUAAGCUAGCUAGCAUUGCAGCAAAGGGUUAUGUUCUGCUGCAUUACUAGCUAAUAUCUAUCAUACAAUAAGGUACUACAUACGGUAGCUAGCGUUGCAGAAAGGAAUUUGUAUUGUAUCAGUAUUAAUUGUAAUGUAGCGGCUGUUAAGUACGGCUUGACGUGUUGAAUAUUGAUUACCUGAAACACCUUUAACUAUGAAAAA